UAAAAGUGGCGAGGUGUCUGCUUUCAUAUCUGCUUCCAUGCAACACCACCACACAGUUCUUAGCCUUUGAUGACACUGUGCAGUAAAUGAGCAAGGGAUUAGGUUUGUUGCACCAACACCACCACCACAUACACACAGCAAACAUCUAACAUGCAUCUGUCGCCAUCGAUCUGCGACGUAGAGGAGGCUGCGACCACCUACGACAUUGCGGCGAUCGAGUAUCGUGGCCUUAAUUCUGUCACCAACUUCGAUCUCGGCCGGUACAUUCAAUGGCUUCGAUCAAAUCACCAGGGGCUUCAUGCUGAUCCAAGCACCAGCAACAGUGCAAUUGAGGGCACCACACGGUUUCUCGACGCAGGAGCUGCAGGAGUGAGCACAUCAUCUGCUCUCGGUCUGCUGCUGCAGUCAUCAAAGUUCAAGGAGAUGUUGCACAAGAGGCUGUUGAUCUUGAUAAGAAGGGAUAGAAUUAUCAAAUAAAGAGGCAUCAUCAGAAGAAAGCAAUUCGCCUUCGGCACAUGUUUUCGAUGAUAAGCCACCCCGGUGCAGUUUUUUGGAUUACAUACAGACAUACUUCAGAGUGGCAAGACAGUGAGAGCUUCACUUAGGAAGAAGACUCCAGGGGCCCUCAACACCUACAUAUCCCCAAUCAUGACUUGCGAGUUUGACAUAUAGAUUUGAAGAACCUAAACAUGAAAUUCUAAAGAUAUUUACUUUUAUUUUCCUACCUAUGUGGAUAGAGAUUCUUCUACCAGUGUCAUCAUAGUCAAAGUGAGCUCAAGAUGAAUUUUUGAACUGGUUUCAUC
Long non-coding RNA from Musa acuminata AAA Group (dessert banana), 803 nucleotides. RefSeq lists it as uncharacterized. NCBI's taxonomy places the organism in Eukaryota, Viridiplantae, Streptophyta, Magnoliopsida, Zingiberales, Musaceae. The transcript has 2 exons. The record is from RefSeq and is a predicted model, not a curated record.